This 148-nucleotide small nuclear RNA is filed under the name Otolemur garnettii (small-eared galago). Its description in RNAcentral is "U2 spliceosomal RNA". It matches the Rfam family "U2 spliceosomal RNA". Rfam says of the family: U2 is a small nuclear RNA (snRNA) component of the spliceosome (involved in pre-mRNA splicing). Complementary binding between U2 snRNA (in an area lying towards the 5' end but 3' to hairpin I) and the branchpoint sequence (BPS) of the intron results the bulging out of an unpaired adenosine, on the BPS, which initiates a nucleophilic attack at the intronic 5' splice site, thus starting the first of two transesterification reactions that mediate splicing. The record is from Rfam by way of RNAcentral. Lineage: Eukaryota; Metazoa; Chordata; Mammalia; Primates; Galagidae.
GUCACUUCUCAGCCUUUUGGCUAAGAUCAAGUGCAGUAGGUAUUUAAGUAAAGUGAUUUUAAACUAGUUUUUGAGAAAGUAGUUUCAUGUGUUUGUGUAAGUACACCACAUUGAACAGGUACUUUCACUAACAUUUUACCAACUCUGA